This 1156-nucleotide ribosomal RNA is filed under the name Clostridium perfringens. RNAcentral describes it as "partial 23S ribosomal RNA". It matches the Rfam family "Bacterial large subunit ribosomal RNA", at positions 741 to 1906 of the family's 2925-position model. Lineage: Bacteria; Bacillati; Bacillota; Clostridia; Eubacteriales; Clostridiaceae. The record is from RNAcentral.
CAGGUUGAAGCGAGGGUAAAACCUCGUGGAGGACCGAACCACGUUGCUGUUGAAAAAGCAUGGGAUGAGCUGUGGAUAGCGGAGAAAUUCCAAUCGAACUCGGAUAUAGCUGGUUCUCCUCGAAAUAGCUUUAGGGCUAGCGUCGUGAAAUGUGAGUACUGGAGGUAGAGCACUGAAUAGGCUAGGGGGCAUAGCGCUUACCGAACCUUAUCAAACUCCGAAUGCCAGAUACUAUCAGCACGGCAGUCAGACUAUGAAAGAUAAGUUCCAUGGUCAAAAGGGAAACAGCCCAGAUCGUCAGCUAAGGUCCCAAAGUGUAAGUUAAGUGGAAAAGGAUGUGGGAUUUCUAAGACAACUAGGAUGUUGGCUUAGAAGCAGCCACUCAUUAAAAGAGUGCGUAAUAGCUCACUAGUCAAGAGAUCCUGCGCCGAAAAUGUCCGGGGCUCAAACUUACCACCGAAGCUACGGGUUCAUACUUUGUAUGAGCGGUAGAGGAGCGUCGUAAUCGGGCUGAAGUCGUACCGUAAGGAGCGGUGGACUGAUUACGAGUGAGAAUGUUGGCAUUAGUAGCGAGAUGUAGGUGAGAAUCCUACAGGCCGAAUAUCUAAGGUUUCCUGAGUAAAGUUUGUCUUCUCAGGGUUAGUCGGGACCUAAGGCGAGGCCGAGAGGCGUAGUCGAUGGACAAUUGGUUGAUAUUCCAAUACCACUAUAAUCGUUAUUAUCGAUGGUGUGACGGAGAAGGAUAGGAUGUGCCAGCUAUUGGAUGCUGGUCUAAGCGUUGAGGGAGUUAGAACAGGCAAAUCCGUUCUAACAAUCCUAGGGCGUGAUGGGGAAGGUUCCACGGAACCGAAGUAUCUGAUUUCAUGCUUCCAAGAAAAGCAUCUAGAAAGAGAAGUAGUGCCCGUACCGCAAACCGACACAGGUAGAUGAGGAGAGAAUCCUAAGGCCGACGGAAGAAUCACAGUUAAGGAACUAGGCAAAUUGACCCCGUAACUUCGGGAGAAGGGGUGCCUACCAAUUGGUAGGCCGCAGAGAAUAGGCACAAGCAACUGUUUAACAAAAACACAGGUCUCUGCUAAAGCGUAAGCUGAUGUAUAGGGGCUGACGCCUGCCCGGUGCUGGAAGGUUAAGGGGAACACUUAGCGCAAGCGAAGGU